AAGUCAGUAAACUUAAGGGCCAAUCACAUAGUUACAGAUUUUUCAAUUACAAGAAAAGUUACAGAUUUUUCAAUUACAAGAAACGAAUUAAUCCAAUCCCUGUAAUGAAUGUUAAAUUAUCUAGUACACCAAGAAGGCUUUACAUGUAACUAAAUAAGAAGAUGAGAAAGAAGUAGGGAACAACAGCCAACAAGGAACCAACGGUGAGGGAUGGAGCUGCAGAGGGAAGCAGUGGCGGCGGUGAUAUUCCAUUUCCAACUUUGAUUGCCACCUUCAUACCUUGUUCGCAGUGGUUUCCAACAGAGCACACGAAAUAGCGAGUCCCAUUUGCACUAAGAGGGACAAUGACUCCUCCUCUUGUUACGAUCACUAUUCCUGUCUUUGUGCAGUUAUUAUAUUCAUCUUCAUUGUCUACUUCAGUUACAGUAUGUGUCCCAGUCCAGUUGAACACGAGGUAGUCUCCUAACAGAAAUGUCUUGUUGUUAGCCCAGUCGCCAUAGUACCCAAGUGAAUUGUUGGGAGGGAGUGUCCAUCCCAAACUGUCUCCAACUGUGUACUUCAUAGCUGCAUUUGCGCCCUGAAAUAAUAAUUUUGCCACUGUAAACAUCAAUAUCACAACCGAGCUUUGACGGCCAGCCAUUAUGACUGAUCGGUCUUGAGGAGGUCGCCCCCUCAGUCAAUGUUUCUUUCUCUUCAAAGGUGCUUUGCUUUGGCAAGGAACAGCCCAGCUUUCAAGUUAAAACCGUGACUUGGAGAAGUGGAAAAGAAU
This 769-nucleotide unclassified non-coding RNA is filed under the name Hevea brasiliensis (rubber tree). The record is from RNAcentral. Lineage: Eukaryota; Viridiplantae; Streptophyta; Magnoliopsida; Malpighiales; Euphorbiaceae.